AAGAGACGUUGCCCUUCGGGGUAUACCUCCCACCCUUUGUUUAUUAUACCUUUGUUGCUUUGGCGGACCCGUCCUCGGACCACCGGCUUCUGCUGGUCAGUGCCCGCCAGAGGACCUAAAACUCUGUUUGUUAAUAUUGUCUGAGUACUAUAUAAUAGUUA
Molecule: unclassified non-coding RNA, 161 nt
Filed under: soil metagenome
Description: partial internal transcribed spacer 1
Source: RNAcentral